UCUGCCUAGAGGUGUGGAGCUGUAAAGGAGUAGUGAAUGUGUGACUGUACUACAGCCUCUGUCUAGAGGUGUGGAGCUGUGAAGGAGUAGUGAAUUCUAUGUGACUGUACUACAACCUCUACCUAGAGGUGUGGGGCUGUAAAGGAGUAGUGAAUGUGUGACUGUACUACAGCCUCUGCCUAGAGGUGUGGAGCUGUAAAGGAGUAGUGAAUGUGUGACUGUACUACAGCCUCUGCCUAGAGGUGUGGAGCUGUAAAGGAGUGGUGAAUGUGUGACUGUACUACAACCUCUACCUAGAGGUGUGGGGCUGUAAAGGAGUAGUGAAUGUGUGACUGUACUACAACCUCUGCCUAGAGGUGUGGAGCUAAUAGCUAGAAUCCAUAGUUGCUACAUCCUUCUUUUUUUUUACUAAUAAAUUAAUGAUAUAUACCCAUUGAUUCUUGAAGAAUACAAUUGGUAAAUGCCUCAUGAGAUUAGUUUAACUGU
This is a long non-coding RNA of Oncorhynchus tshawytscha (Chinook salmon), 486 nucleotides long. The record is from Ensembl. NCBI's taxonomy places the organism in Eukaryota, Metazoa, Chordata, Actinopteri, Salmoniformes, Salmonidae.